AAUAUGUACACAAAAAGAAUCAGCCCAUACGCCAACCCUAAUGAAACAAAAUACAAAAAAAGACAAUCAAUUAGGAAAGUUGAAAAGGAUGGACAUUUUUAAAGAUAAUCAAUCAAAGAGGCAACUGAAGCAUCCGAUAGCUUCAAUGUUGUUGUUCAUGGUCGAAGCUUCCUCUUCAUGGAUGAUUCUAGAUCCACCGUUGAUUAUCUCACUAGCGAUUUAAACUUUUCAUCCAAGAGCUCUAUCAGAUCUACCAUUGAAUAUCUCACUACCGAUUUAAACUUUUCAUCCAACAGUUCUAUCAGAUCUAGCAUUGAAUAUCUCACUGCCGAUUUAAAAUUUUCAUCCAAGAGUUCUAUCAGGCCUCUUGCAGAAAAGAAAUUACUUGUGUCAUUUGCAAGCUUCAUAUACAACUAUUCUAACUGCUUGUAGAUGAAUAGAGUUUUUCCCAUUCAGUAUCCUAACCUAAGCAGGAAAAAUUGUUUCUUAACAUUUUUGCAACUGAUGGCAUACACUCUUGACGAUGGAAGACACACCGCAAUUCCAGUCACAUUGUAGGUGCCUUGGAACAAACUUCUUAGUCACUUUAUCGUUCCAACUGUGUUGUCUUCCAUAUGUCUAUUUUUUGCUUCUGUUCUUUCCAUUUCAAUGUUGCCUAGGCGAGAUAUACCCUUCUCUAGCCAUUGUAAGAGUUAGUGUUUCAAUUAAUUUUGAAACAAAUUCAUCCGUUUUGAAAUAACAAAUACAUGAAUGUGAAUUGUAAUAUUCAUUUAUUUUAAUUAUAUGUUAUAAACA
Solanum lycopersicum (tomato) is the source of this 795-nucleotide RNA transcript. RefSeq lists it as uncharacterized. Lineage: Eukaryota; Viridiplantae; Streptophyta; Magnoliopsida; Solanales; Solanaceae. The record is from RefSeq and is a predicted model, not a curated record.